CUCAGUGGAAACUGCAUGUACUCAGCAAAAUGGACAUAACACUGAGUUGCUUCCUUGUAUUGUCAGCUUUUUGUGCAAGUCUUACUAUUGUCCAAAAUAAGGAAACCGCAGUAACAGGAAGUCUGACCAAAAAUGAAGAUAGUGGACUAAGGUUAGAUCUUGGAAUUUCCCAUACACAAGAAAACUUCGAAUUUGGAGGGUCAGUUUAUGGAAACAGUCGGGGAAAUGCAGGUGUGAACAUAGGCAUCAAAGGGAAGUUUCAAAAGAGAUCUGCAGCAUGGUUGAUGGUUAAGUGACCAUUGAAGAGUUCAAAUUGAUGGCUCCCAAUUUUAUAAAGAAAUGUGGAUGUAACAAUUAAAGUAUGCAUUUUGUAA
Mytilus californianus (California mussel) is the source of this 374-nucleotide long non-coding RNA. RefSeq lists it as uncharacterized. The record is from RefSeq and is a predicted model, not a curated record. NCBI's taxonomy places the organism in Eukaryota, Metazoa, Mollusca, Bivalvia, Mytilida, Mytilidae. The transcript has 3 exons.